GUAGAGAGUGCCCAGCCUGCGACAAAAUUAUGAUCACUGAUUAUUUCAGAAUGAAGGGCAUAUGUGAAAUUUCAGUAUCAAACAACACAAAACCAUCCGUGCUGUGCACAAGCAUUACCUAUGACUCUAUUCAUGAAGUUGUUUGGGGCUGAAUUUGGCUGAGCCUGCACCCAGACAGCCAUAGAUUUGGCUACAAGCUCCGUGUGUGGAAACUGCACAGAGAAUGUGUGUGGUGCUGUGCAGGUAGGGAGCUGAGCAGGUAAAGGUCUGUGAAGGGGGGGAGCUGUGCAGGCAUAGUGCUGUGCAGUAUGGAGUUCUGUAGGCAUAGAGCUGUGCAGGUAGGAUGCCAUGCAGGCAGACUGAGUGCUGCAGUAGCUCCUUGAUGUUCAUUUCCAAAAUUGAUGUUUUCUUGGUUUUCUUUCUGUGCUGGAAAAUUAUCAGUUUUGUCAAGCAAAUCGUAUGGAUGCCAGAUGAUUACAUAUUAUGAAGUAAUUGUGCAACUUGUAGUGUAAAACCAAUUCAUUUAGAUCAUAGUUCAAACAUUCUAGAACUGCCUGACAAUCUGGGUUUGCUCAGAUCCAUACUUUGCUGUGGGAUUUGAACUUCAUGAAAGAUUUGUAACCAGAGCAGUGUGGAGAGACUACUUACCUGACAGGGAGAUGCAGUAAGAAGCUCAGGACAUGCAAAUAUUUUGGAAGGAAAAGGACUACUGAAAUCAGCAUGGAGGUAUUUCUUACCAGUAUGCAAACAAGAGCGGAAUUAGCAUGGAUGAUAUCUGAAAGCCAGGGAUGUAACAGAAAGGUUACGUACAAUACAGCACAACAACUCCAAAUGUUACUGUCUACAAGCAGGCUGGUAUGCUCCCUGAGGUUCAUAUUCAUUUUUCUACUUUCCAUUCUGCUGCUUCUACUUAUAAAUGAACAUACUGUAACAAAGGUACAGCAACAGAGAUAAUAUUUUGGUUUCAGAGCUCUUGUGUGCAACAGAGCAUCUUGUUUGCCAUACCAGAAGAACUGGGAUCCUAGAAAUUUUAUGAACAAAUUUUUCCCAUUCUGAUUUUGACCACUGCUGAAUGCAAAAGUUCUCUCUUGCACCAGUGGAAAUAAAAUAACCCAAAUCUCUUCCCCA
RNAcentral lists this long non-coding RNA (1128 nucleotides) under Phasianus colchicus (ring-necked pheasant). RNAcentral describes it as "lncRNA (ENSPCLG00000012945.1)". Lineage: Eukaryota; Metazoa; Chordata; Aves; Galliformes; Phasianidae. The record is from RNAcentral.